GGGUUGUGAGGUUAAGCGACUAAGCGUACACGGUGGAUGCCCUGGCAGUCAGAGGCGAUGAAGGACGUGCUAAUCUGCGAUAAGCGUCGGUAAGGUGAUAUGAACCGUUAUAACCGGCGAUUUCCGAAUGGGGAAACCCAGUGUGUUUCGACACACUAUCAUUAACUGAAUCCAUAGGUUAAUGAGGCGAACCGGGGGAACUGAAACAUCUAAGUACCCCGAGGAAAAGAAAUCAACCGAGAUUCCCCCAGUAGCGGCGAGCGAACGGGGAGCAGCCCAGAGCCUGAAUCAGUGUGUGUGUUAGUGGAAGCGUCUGGAAAGGCGCGCGAUACAGGGUGACAGCCCCGUACACAAAAAUGCACAUGCUGUGAGCUCGAUGAGUAGGGCGGGACACGUGGUAUCCUGUCUGAAUAUGGGGGGACCAUCCUCCAAGGCUAAAUACUCCUGACUGACCGAUAGUGAACCAGUACCGUGAGGGAAAGGCGAAAAGAACCCCGGCGAGGGGAGUGAAAAAGAACCUGAAACCGUGUACGUACAAGCAGUGGGAGCACGCUUAGGCGUGUGACUGCGUACCUUUUGUAUAAUGGGUCAGCGACUUAUAUUCUGUAGCAAGGUUAACCGAAUAGGGGAGCCGAAGGGAAACCGAGUCUUAACUGGGCGUUAAGUUGCAGGGUAUAGACCCGAAACCCGGUGAUCUAGCCAUGGGCAGGUUGAAGGUUGGGUAACACUAACUGGAGGACCGAACCGACUAAUGUUGAAAAAUUAGCGGAUGACUUGUGGCUGGGGGUGAAAGGCCAAUCAAACCGGGAGAUAGCUGGUUCUCCCCGAAAGCUAUUUAGGUAGCGCCUCGUGAAUUCAUCUCCGGGGGUAGAGCACUGUUUCGGCAAGGGGGUCAUCCCGACUUACCAACCCGAUGCAAACUGCGAAUACCGGAGAAUGUUAUCACGGGAGACACACGGCGGGUGCUAACGUCCGUCGUGAAGAGGGAAACAACCCAGACCGCCAGCUAAGGUCCCAAAGUCAUGGUUAAGUGGGAAACGAUGUGGGAAGGCCCAGACAGCCAGGAUGUUGGCUUAGAAGCAGCCAUCAUUUAAAGAAAGCGUAAUAGCUCACUGGUCGAGUCGGCCUGCGCGGAAGAUGUAACGGGGCUAAACCAUGCACCGA
This 1164-nucleotide ribosomal RNA is filed under the name Escherichia coli. RNAcentral describes it as "partial 23S ribosomal RNA". It matches the Rfam family "Bacterial large subunit ribosomal RNA", at positions 1 to 1197 of the family's 2925-position model. The record is from RNAcentral. Lineage: Bacteria; Pseudomonadati; Pseudomonadota; Gammaproteobacteria; Enterobacterales; Enterobacteriaceae.